This 748-nucleotide ribosomal RNA is filed under the name Lactobacillus helveticus. RNAcentral describes it as "bacterial SSU rRNA". It matches the Rfam family "Bacterial small subunit ribosomal RNA", at positions 305 to 1044 of the family's 1533-position model. Lineage: Bacteria; Bacillati; Bacillota; Bacilli; Lactobacillales; Lactobacillaceae. The record is from RNAcentral.
CGCCCACAUUGGGAUGAGACUCUGCCCAAACUCCUCGGGAGGCAGCCAGUAGGGAAUCUUUCCACAAUGGACGCAAGUCUGAUGGAGCAACGCCGCGUGAGUGAAGAAGGUUUUCGGAUCGUAAAGCUCUGUUGUUGGUGAAGAAGGAUAGAGGUAGUCACUGGCCUUUAUUUGACGGUAAUCAACCAGAAAGUCACGGCUAACUACGUGCCAGCAGCCGCGGUAAUACGUAGGUGGCAAGCGUUGUCCGGAUUUAUUGGGCGUAAAGCGAGCGCAGGCGGAAGAAUAAGUCUGAUGUGAAAGCCCUCGGCUUAACCGAGGAAUUGCAUCGGAAACUGUUUUUCUUGAGUGCAGAAGAGGAGAGUGGAACUCCAUGUGUAGCGGUGGAAUGCGUAGAUAUAUGGAAGAACACCAGUGGCGAAGGCGGCUCUCUGUUCUGCAACUGACGCUGAGGCUCGAAAGCAUGGGUAGCGAACAGGAUUAGAUACCCUGGUAGUCCAUGCCGUAAACGAUGAGUGCUAAGUGUUGGGAGGUUUCCGCCUCUCAGUGCUGCAGCUAACGCAUUAAGCACUCCGCCUGGGGAGUACGACCGCAAGGUUGAAACUCAAAGGAAUUGACGGGGGCCCGCACAAGCGGUUGAGCAUGUGGUUUAAUUCGAAGCAACGCGAAGAACCUUACCAGGUCUAGACAUCCAGUGCCAUCCUAAGAGAUUAGGAGUUCCCUUCGGGGACGCUAAGACAGGUGGUGC